Molecule: non-coding RNA, 974 nt
Organism: Arachis ipaensis
Lineage: Eukaryota; Viridiplantae; Streptophyta; Magnoliopsida; Fabales; Fabaceae
Source: RefSeq, a predicted model, not a curated record
AAACUAACCCUAGCCGCCAUUCAUUUUGUUUUCCUAACCUAACCUAUAGAAGAAAGAAACAAAGAAAGGGAAAGAAAGAAGAAGGGGAUGCAUGGGAGGAAGGGAGAGCCGAGAAGAAGAUGGGGAAGGGAAGGGGACGGCGCCGGCAGGGCUGGGAGUCGCUGUUACCGUCGAGUUACUGAGAGAGGGAGAGAGAGGCCGUGACUGGAAGGAGAGAGAGAAGUUGUCUCGUGUCUUGUUGUUGCCGCCACCGUCGCCCUCAUCCCGAAUCGCCGUCGUCGCCGUCACGGGGAAAGAUCAGAGCUAAAGGAGAGAACCACGUGAGGAAGGGGAGUUGUUGCUGCCGAAGACGCGAGCUAGAGGAGCUGCGUUCAGCCACCGCCGUUGCACCAGUCACCGCCAUUUUUGUAGAUGGAGACCGUUGCCAUUGUUGUGCACGUUGGAGGAGGAGGACCAGAACGUGAUGGAGGGGAAGAAGCCGUUCUGGGUUCACAGUCACUACCGUGCGUUCUGUCAUCCGCUGCCUACAUCGCCGCCACAGCUGCUGUUGUCAGUAACCGCCGGUGGAAUCCUUGUCUCCUUGGGUCGAGUUCCGAGGAAUUGCAUCUCAAUUUAAGGUUGCCGUUGAACCACCGGAGUUUCUAGCCGUUGUUGGAGCUGCCGCCGGAUCAACUCGAGAUUGUGGCUGCUCUGUUCUACUGUUACCGUAAGUGUAAUUUAUUUUGAACCCCGCCGUUAGUUUUCUGUUAUAUGUAAUUAAGGCUUCCGUGAUAUUGCGGAAGUGAGCAGACCUGUGGUUGAAGCUGCAGUUGAUUUUGGGCUGAGAGAAAGGGUUCUUGUGACGCAUUUAGCUUAUGGGUUUGACUUUUUGAGGUCUUUCCUUUUUCAUGUUAUGGGCGACGAAGUUUGGAAGAGCUUAUUUACUCACAUUUUGUUUUAAACGAUGUUUGUGUUGUAUUAGUUACUUUUUCCCU